RNAcentral lists this ribosomal RNA (503 nucleotides) under uncultured bacterium. Its description in RNAcentral is "partial 16S ribosomal RNA". It matches the Rfam family "Bacterial small subunit ribosomal RNA", at positions 28 to 523 of the family's 1533-position model. The record is from RNAcentral.
GAUGAACGCUAGCGGCAGGCCUAACACAUGCAAGUCGAGGGGUAGCAGGAUUAAGCUUGCUUAAUUGCUGAUGACCGGCACACGGGUGCGUAACGCGUAUGCAACCUACCUUAUACUGGGGUAUAGCCCGGAGAAAUUCGGAUUAAUCCCCCAUAGUACUAAUGAAUCGCAUGGUUUAUUAGUUAAAGCAUUGCGGUAUAAGAUGGGCAUGCGUCCUAUUAGCUAGAUGGUGAGGUAACGGCUCACCAUGGCUACGAUAGGUAGGGGGCCUGAGAGGGUGGUCCCCCACACUGGUACUGAGACACGGACCAGACUCCUACGGGAGGCAGCAGUGAGGAAUAUUGGUCAAUGGGCGCAAGCCUGAACCAGCCAUGCCGCGUGCAGGAAGAAUGCCCUAUGGGUUGUAAACUGCUUUUAUUUGGGAAUAGACCUCUUUACGUGUAGAGAGCUGAAGGUACCAAAUGAAUAAGCACCGGCUAACUCCGUGCCAGCAGCCGCAGUAA